This 458-nucleotide long non-coding RNA is filed under the name Ananas comosus (pineapple). RNAcentral's name for it is "long non-coding RNA (ACOM_LNC043272)". Lineage: Eukaryota; Viridiplantae; Streptophyta; Magnoliopsida; Poales; Bromeliaceae. The record is from RNAcentral.
AAAAGCGGCGCACGUGGUCCGAGAAGCAGCUGGCGUGCACAAACUUCUGGGCGCCCGGAAACAGUUUGUGGGCGCCCGAAAGUACAACUGACAGAUCUGUCCGAGGCUAUAAAUAGAUGGUAUUGAGGCCUCACUUUAAACAACUUGAUAGUUCAUUUUGAGCUUAAAAACUUCAGUGAUCUUAAUACUCUUAGCUCUCAAUUCUCUCUCUAAACUUGAGUGAAAUUUGUAGUGAGAUUUAAUCUUGUAAAAAGAGAGAGAAGCAAAUUCUUGAAGCUUGAAAGAAGAAGGAGUUGAUGUGAAGGCUUGGUGCUUGCCCGCAAAAGCAUCAUCUAGUGGAGAUCCAACAUUCUCGAGUGUUGAGAAGUUGGCGGGGACGUAGGCAAAGUGCCGAACCUCGAAACAAAUUGAUCGUGUGUUUUUCGAGUUUACAUUUCUUUUAUUUGCAUCGGUUUUUU